This 29-nucleotide non-coding RNA is filed under the name Rattus norvegicus (Norway rat). Lineage: Eukaryota; Metazoa; Chordata; Mammalia; Rodentia; Muridae. The record is from RNAcentral.
UGGGUCUUGUUUUAGUCGGAUGAGGAGGC